GACGAACGCUGGCGGCGUGCUUAACACAUGCAAGUCGAACGGAAAGGCCCUGCUUUUGUGGGGUGCUCGAUUGGCGAACGGGGGAGUAACACGUGAGUAACCUGCCCUUGACUUUGGGGUAACUUCUGGAAACUGGGGCUAUUACCGGAGAGGAUCUCCUGCUGCAUGUUGGGGGUUGGUAAAUGUCGGCGGUGGUGGAUGGACUCGCUGCUUACCCGCUUGUUUGGGGGGUAGGUGCGUACCAGGGCUUUGACGGGUAGCCUGCCUGAGAGGGUGACCGGGCACCUUGGGACUGAGGUACGGCCCAGAAUGCUACGGGAGGCAGUAGUGGGGAAUAUUGCACAAUGGGCGGAAGCCUGAUGCAGCAGCGCUGCGUGCGGGAUGACCGCCUUCGGGUUGUAAACAGAUGUCGAAUGUGCCGAAGCGAGCGUGACGGUAAUGGGUGAAGAAGCCCCGGCUAACUACGUG
This 468-nucleotide ribosomal RNA is filed under the name uncultured bacterium. RNAcentral describes it as "partial 16S ribosomal RNA". It matches the Rfam family "Bacterial small subunit ribosomal RNA", at positions 28 to 507 of the family's 1533-position model. The record is from RNAcentral.